This 497-nucleotide ribosomal RNA is filed under the name uncultured bacterium. RNAcentral's name for it is "partial 16S ribosomal RNA". It matches the Rfam family "Bacterial small subunit ribosomal RNA", at positions 28 to 507 of the family's 1533-position model. The record is from RNAcentral.
GAUGAACGCUGGCGGCGUGCCUAAUACAUGCAAGUCGAGCGAACAGAUAAGGAGCUUGCUCCUUUGACGUUAGCGGCGGACGGGUGAGUAACACGUGGGUAACCUACCUAUAAGACUGGGAUAACUUCGGGAAACCGGAGCUAAUACCGGAUAACAUUUGGAACCGCAUGGUUCUAAAGUGAAAGAUGGUUUUGCUAUCACUUAUAGAUGGACCCGCGCCGUAUUAGCUAGUUGGUAAGGUAACGGCUUACCAAGGCAACGAUACGUAGCCGCCCUGAGAGGGUGAUCGGCCACACUGGAACUGAGACACGGUCCAGACUCCUACGGGAGGCAGCAGUAGGGAAUCUUCCGCAAUGGGCGAAAGCCUGACGGAGCAACGCCGCGUGAGUGAUGAAGGGUUUCGGCUCGUAAAACUCUGUUAUUAGGGAAGAACAAAUGUGUAAGUAACUGUGCACGUCUUGACGGUACCUAAUCAGAAAGCCACGGCUAACUACGUG